RNAcentral lists this ribosomal RNA (446 nucleotides) under uncultured bacterium. RNAcentral's name for it is "bacterial SSU rRNA". It matches the Rfam family "Bacterial small subunit ribosomal RNA", at positions 29 to 521 of the family's 1533-position model. The record is from RNAcentral.
AGCGAACGCUGGCGGCAGGCCUAAAACAUGCAAGUCGAACGGAUCCUUCGGGAUUAGUGGCGGACGGGUGAGUAACACGUGGGAACGUGCCUUUUGGUUCGGAACAACUCAGGGAAACUUGAGCUAAUACCGGAUGUGCCCUUCGGGGAAGGAUUUAUCGCCAUUAGAGCGGCCCGCGUCUGAUUAGCUAGUUGGUGAGGUAAAGGCUCACCAAGGCGACGAUCAGUAGCUGGUCUGAGAGGAUGAUCAGCCACACUGGGACUGAGACACGGCCCAGACUCCUACGGGAGGCAGCAGUUAGGAAUCUUGCGCAAUGGGGGAAACCCUGACGCAGCCAUGCCGCGUGAAUGAUGAAGGUCUUGGGAUUGUAAAAUUCUUUCAGCGGGGACGAUAAUGACGGUACCCGCAGAAGAAGCCCCGGCUAACUUCGUGCCAGCAGCCGCGGU